UUUUAACGGCCGCGGUAUCAUAACCGUGCAAAGGUAGCGUAAUCACCUGUCUCCUAAUUAGAGACCUGUAUGAACGGCCCACUGAGGGCCCAACUGUCUUCUGUCACCAACCAAUGAAACUGAUCUUUCAGUAAAAAAGCUGAAAUAAAUACACAAGACGAGAAGACCCUGUGGAGCUUCAAACCCAUUGCUAUCUAACUAAANUCUUCCCCCGGGGCACACCCAGACACACAUAGCAGAUAGUUUUUAGUUGGGGCGACUGCGGAGAGAAAAAAAACCUCCAUGAAAAACUGCGCCAGGCCAACAAGCCAAACAUGUAACUUAAUCUUGACCCAGUAAUACUGCCAAUCGAACCAAGUUACCCCAGGGAUAACAGCGCCAUCCUCUUCAAGAGUCCCUAUCGCCAAGAGGGUUUACGACCUCGAUGUUGGAUCAGGGCCCCCAAGUGGUGAAGCCGCUACUAAAGGUUCGUUUGUUCAACGAUUAAAGCCCUA
Molecule: ribosomal RNA, 494 nt
Filed under: Elasmodactylus tuberculosus (warty thick-toed gecko)
Lineage: Eukaryota; Metazoa; Chordata; Lepidosauria; Squamata; Gekkonidae
Description: partial 16S ribosomal RNA
Rfam family: Bacterial large subunit ribosomal RNA
Source: RNAcentral